GCCGGGCGCGGUGGCGCAUAGUUCCAGCUACUCAGGGAGGCUGAGGCUGCAGGAUCACCUGAGUCCAGGAGUUCUUGUCUGUAGUGCGCUGUGCCAAUUGAGUGUCCGCACUAGUUUGGCAUCAAUAUGGUGACCUCCCGGGAGCAGGGGACCACCAGGUUGCCUAAGGAAGGGUGAACUGGCCCAAGUAGGAAACGGAACAGGUCAAAACUUCCGUGCUGAUCAGUAGUGGAUCGUGUUUGUGAAUAGCCACUGCAUUCUAGCCUCGGCAAAUAGCAAGACCCCAUCUCUA
Callithrix jacchus (white-tufted-ear marmoset) is the source of this 292-nucleotide unclassified non-coding RNA. It matches the Rfam family "Metazoan signal recognition particle RNA". Rfam says of the family: The signal recognition particle (SRP) is a universally conserved ribonucleoprotein. It is involved in the co-translational targeting of proteins to membranes. The eukaryotic SRP consists of a 300-nucleotide 7S RNA and six proteins: SRPs 72, 68, 54, 19, 14, and 9. The record is from Ensembl. NCBI's taxonomy places the organism in Eukaryota, Metazoa, Chordata, Mammalia, Primates, Cebidae.